Molecule: ribosomal RNA, 1207 nt
Filed under: Burkholderia gladioli
Lineage: Bacteria; Pseudomonadati; Pseudomonadota; Betaproteobacteria; Burkholderiales; Burkholderiaceae
Description: bacterial SSU rRNA
Rfam family: Bacterial small subunit ribosomal RNA
Source: RNAcentral
GUGGCAGGGCGGCAUGCCUUAACAUGCAGUCGAACGGCAGCACGGGUGCUUGCACCUGGUGGCGAGUGGCGAACGGGUGAGUAAUACAUCGGAACAUGUCCUGUAGUGGGGGAUAGCCCGGCGAAAGCCGGAUUAAUACCGCAUACGAUCUACGGAUGAAAGCGGGGGACCUUCGGGCCUCGCGCUAUAGGGUUGGCCGAUGGCUGAUUAGCUAGUUGGUGGGGUAAAGGCCCACCAAGGCGACGAUCAGUAGCUGGUCUGAGAGGACGACCAGCCACACUGGGACUGAGACACGGCCCAGACUCCUACGGGAGGCAGCAGUGGGGAAUUUUGGACAAUGGGCGAAAGCCUGAUCCAGCAAUGCCGCGUGUGUGAAGAAGGCCUUCGGGUUGUAAAGCACUUUUGUCCGGAAAGAAAUCCUGAGGGCUAAUAUCCUUCGGGGAUGACGGUACCGGAAGAAUAAGCACCGGCUAACUACGUGCCAGCAGCCGCGGUAAUACGUAGGGUGCGAGCGUUAAUCGGAAUUACUGGGCGUAAAGCGUGCGCAGGCGGUUUGUUAAGACCGAUGUGAAAUCCCCGGGCUCAACCUGGGAACUGCAUUGGUGACUGGCAAGCUAGAGUAUGGCAGAGGGGGGUAGAAUUCCACGUGUAGCAGUGAAAUGCGUAGAGAUGUGGAGGAAUACCGAUGGCGAAGGCAGCCCCCUGGGCCAAUACUGACGCUCAUGCACGAAAGCGUGGGGAGCAAACAGGAUUAGAUACCCUGGUAGUCCACGCCCUAAACGAUGUCAACUAGUUGUUGGGGAUUCAUUUCCUUAGUAACGUAGCUAACGCGUGAAGUUGACCGCCUGGGGAGUACGGUCGCAAGAUUAAAACUCAAAGGAAUUGACGGGGACCCGCACAAGCGGUGGAUGAUGUGGAUUAAUUCGAUGCAACGCGAAAAACCUUACCUACCCUUGACAUGGUCGGAACCUUGGAGAGAUCUGAGGGUGCUCGAAAGAGAACCGAUACACAGGUGCUGCAUGGCUGUCGUCAGCUCCUGUCCUGAGAUGUUGGGUUAAGUCCCGCACGAGCGCAACCCUUGUCCUUAUUUGCUACGCAGAAACACUCUUGGGAGACUGCCGGUGACAAACCCGAAGAAAGUGGGGAUAGAGUCCAGUCCCUCGGCCCCUUUGGGUGGGGGUUCCGCCGUCCUAAAAAGGUUGGGAAA